GUACAGCUGCAUCUGGAACAUCUGACCACAAUAGCCAAAAACCUCAGGCUCCAAAAGUAAUAUAAUCAAAGCAUCUCAGUAGGAAGAUGUACCCCAAUUCACCAACUGCAUUUGUCCAGAAUAAAAUCCACAGACCCAACACUUUCUCUUUCUGGCUUCCAUAAUUUCUUCCUAACGUUACACCAAAGGGAAAACGCUACUUUCUUCUGAGAAGGGUUCCAGGAAUGUUUCUUUUUGUUGAUUUGAGGACACUUUCUUCUUAAUUGGGAAUACUGGUUAACGCUGGUUUUCUCUAAAAAAAAUACUUUUGCAAAUAAA
Non-coding RNA from Pseudonaja textilis, 318 nucleotides. NCBI's taxonomy places the organism in Eukaryota, Metazoa, Chordata, Lepidosauria, Squamata, Elapidae. The record is from RefSeq and is a predicted model, not a curated record.